GCGUUGGUGGUUCAGUGGUAGAAUUCUCGCUUUCUGUGCAGGAGACACAGGUUUGAUUCCCUGCCAGUGCA
Molecule: transfer RNA, 71 nt
Filed under: Loxodonta africana (African savanna elephant)
Lineage: Eukaryota; Metazoa; Chordata; Mammalia; Proboscidea; Elephantidae
Rfam family: tRNA
About the family: Transfer RNA (tRNA) molecules are approximately 80 nucleotides in length. Their secondary structure includes four short double-helical elements and three loops (D, anti-codon, and T loops).
Source: Rfam by way of RNAcentral